CUGGCCCUUUCAACAGAAGGCAUUGUGACAUAUCUCUGGUCCUAUCAUUUAUGUGACAUGACUCUCCUCUUCUGCCUGGACACUGCCCACAAGGGGCAUUGUGCCAUACAGUUGGGCAUAGCCCCGAAGUUAUGUUACUUUUCUGCCAGGAACUUGCCUACAAGGAGAACAUCAGAACAUUUCUGCCUCAGCAUAUAGGUUAUAUGGCUGUCAUGCCUUUCAUUACCACAGAAAACAUAAGUGAUGUCUUAGAUCUCUUUCUGGCGAAAAGGUCACAGAAGAUUAUAACAGCCUCAGAUAAUUUGCAGCCCUUGGCUUGUACAGAGAGUGUCAGAACAGAACCCAGCAGAAAGGAGAAAUUGUGAGUCUCAUAUGUACACCCAGCUGACUGUAAGGACUGUCACCAUCUUACAUACAUGAAGCCAACUGUCACACAUGAAAAGAGGACAUGUGUGGUAUUGUAAAUCUCAUCUCGAAUAUUCUCUCAGUGUGACUGUGAUAUAAAUCUUUGCCAAGCAUCUGUGUGAUUUGACUCUCCAAACUGGUUCCAGCCCAUAUAUACGGGAUUGUGAUCUCUACCUGGGCCAACCUCUAGAUAAUGUGACUCUCCUGCCUGGGCCCUUCUCUCAGUAAGGGUUGUGACAUAUCACUGGAUCUAACACCCAAGUGAUGUUACAUUCUUGCCUGGACCAUGCACAGAGACAUCAUUGUGACAUAUCACUGUGUCCACCACUUAGGUGAUGUAACUCUCCUCUCUGGAAUGGACCCUGAAUACGGAGUGGUAGUGACAUCUUCCUAGGCCAGACACACAGGUGUUGGUACUCUUUUUCCAGGGCUAUGUUUCAAGGAGGGCAUUGUGACAUAUCUCUGGACCUAUCACCGAGGUGAUAUGAUUCAACGCUUGGGCCUCACCGACGUAGAACAUUGUGACAUAAAAGUUAAACCUGCACCAAAGGUGUUGUAACUCUUUCACCUUGGUCCUGUCCUAAGGGAGCCCUGCAACAUAUCUCAGGACCCAGCACUCAGGAACAUUGUGACAUCGUUGGACAUAGCAUCUAGGAAAUGUGACUCUUCUCUCCUGCCUAGGUCCUGCCCACUAAAGGAAUUGUGACAUACCACUGAGUGCAAAACCUAGCCCUGUCUACAGUGGACAUGGUACCACAUGACUUGAGGCUGUAUCCAGGUGAUGUGACUCUUCUGACUUGGCCCUGCCUGCAAAGGAAAUUAUAAUAUAUCCUGAGCUCAGAAUCCAGGCGAUGAGACUCUCCUGCCUCUUUUCUGCCCACAAGUGAAAUUGUGACUUAUACCUGCGUUCAGCUCACAUGCACAAAUAUAACUAUUAUACCUGGACCCAGAAAGGAGAGAUAUUUGGACUCUUAUAGCCAGUCCUAUGGCCAUAAGUAAAGUAAAGGGUCCCCUGUUUGUAUAAAGCUCACAGAGGAUUAUGACACUCAGGCACAUCAUAUAAAGCCUGAGUGGUACAAAGAGUGUCAUAGCAGGGAACAGCAACCAGGUGCGAUUGUGACUCUUGGAUGCUCACCCAGCUGACCCGAUUGUCAUUCUCUCACAAGAACAGGGCCUACAUACAAGCAUCUGGUGCUUCUGCUGGAGCAAUGUUAAUUGAAGCUCCGGCAAAGCGAGAAAGCUGCUUGAUGUGCUUGGCCCUGCUUGCCGAUGAUGACACCGACUGAUAGAGCCUGGAUAAACAGAUGAACAGUCUCCGUUUCUGAUUGCUCAAACUGCGGCUUUGGCACAUGCCUCAACAUUGCCUUUAACUGUAAUGGUGCGUUCUGGAUUAUACAGCGUCAAUUCCUGAAAGCACCUUGAUGGCCUUGAGGGCCCAGCUCUCCUCUGGGCAGUCCAUGAACGCAUAGCCAGUCUUCACCAGGAAGGAUCCCAACACUGGGAUCUUGGCGUCCUUGAAGAUACUUUCUAGGUCCAAGGGGACGGCGUUCUCGUGGAGGUUUCCGAUAUACAGUUUGUUCAUUGUGAAGAAUGGUUGUUUAAAAAAAUUAACGAGAAGAACGAGAAAUUAAAACCACCCAUGGUGAUGGAUGGAUCCAGCUGGUUUUGUUGCUCUCAUCUUCUCACCUUUAAAAUACACAAACACAGAAAGAACCAAGCACAAGAACAAGGAGUGAAAAAUCAGAUCCGAGGCUUGUUUUUCCUUGUCCUAGAUAUGUUUUAAAAGAGAAAGAAAAGAAAAAGCCUAGCUACAACCCAAAUGCAUCAACCAGUCUUCCUAAGUCUCGCUUUUGAAUAAUUUUCAAAUGAGAUGUACACCUAAAUUUUAAGAGUGUUUGAGUUUGUGUUUGCUUUAGUGGUGCUUUAUAUCUGUCUGAUUGUAAGCAUAAUGUUCAUGGAAAGAGACUUUUGGUAGGAAUCAAACUGGGACUCUUACAAUGGCUUAAGUCCAUCAGAAUAGUUCUGAUGCUACUUAGGAGCAUCAGAACUCCUUUCUUUGCCUGAUUUUUCAACUUAUUUCUUAAUUGGAACCCCAUAAAGAACAUGAAUGGUCUUCUGAUAUCCUUAAUGUCUUAGAGUUAUAUCAAUAUUUUGCUUACCAG
This 2567-nucleotide long non-coding RNA is filed under the name Homo sapiens (human). Its description in RNAcentral is "HSALNT0340948". Lineage: Eukaryota; Metazoa; Chordata; Mammalia; Primates; Hominidae. The record is from RNAcentral.